This 90-nucleotide small RNA is filed under the name Drosophila erecta. RNAcentral describes it as "GG27235". Lineage: Eukaryota; Metazoa; Arthropoda; Insecta; Diptera; Drosophilidae. The record is from RNAcentral.
CAGCAACUGCUCCUUGCACUUCUCCAUCUCUUGCUCCAGAUGUCUGAUCCGAUCGCGAUAGCAUUUGCUAACACCUGAGUUUAAAAUGGU